This 253-nucleotide ribosomal RNA is filed under the name uncultured bacterium. Its description in RNAcentral is "partial 16S ribosomal RNA". It matches the Rfam family "Bacterial small subunit ribosomal RNA", at positions 524 to 776 of the family's 1533-position model. The record is from RNAcentral.
UACGUAGGUGGCAAGCGUUGUCCGGAUUUACUGGGCUUAAAGAGCGCGCAGGCGGUCGUUCAAGUCGCGUGUGAAAGCCCCCGGCUCAACUGGGGAGGGUCACGCGAUACUGAUCGACUGGAAGGCAGGAGAGGGUAGUGGAAUUCCCGGUGUAGUGGUGAAAUGCGUAGAUAUCGGGAGGAACACCAGUGGCGAAGGCGACUACCUGGCCUGUUCUUGACGCUGAGGCGCGAAAGCUAGGGGAGCAAACGGG